Molecule: ribosomal RNA, 234 nt
Filed under: uncultured bacterium
Lineage: Bacteria
Description: partial 16S ribosomal RNA
Rfam family: Bacterial small subunit ribosomal RNA
Source: RNAcentral
CGGCGGACGGGUGAGUAAUGUAUGGGGAUCUGCCCGAUGGAGGGGGAUAACUACUGGAAACGGUAGCUAAUACCGCAUAACGUCGCAAGACCAAAGAGGGGACCUUCGGGCCUCUUGCCAUCGGAUGUGCCCAGAUGGGAUUAGCUAGUAGGUGGGGUAACGGCUCACCUAGGCGACGAUCCCUAGCUGGUCUGAGAGGAUGACCAGCCACACUGGAACUGAGACACGGUCCAG